GUCUAUUCGAGGGUAUAAAUAGUCUAGCCUGCUCACUGCCAAAGUAGUUAAAUAGCCGCGGUAUCCUGACCGUGCAAAGGUAGCAUAAUCAUUAGUUCUUUAAUUGGGAACUCGUAUGAAUGGUUGGACAAAGAAAAAGCUGGCUCUCAUAUUAAAGUUGAAUUUAACUUCUAAGUGAAAAGGCUUAGAUUAUCUAGAGGGACGAUAAGACCCUAUAAAGCUUUAUAAACUAAAAGAAUUCACAAAUUUAGACAUAAAGGUAAUUUUCUAACUUCUUAUUUUGUUGGGGCGACAGUAGAUAACUAAAGUAACUGCUAUUAUAGGAGUACAAUGAUUUUUGAUUAGCCAGUAACAGAUCCCUACUAAGGAUUAUAAAACCAAGUUACUUUAGGGAUAACAGCGUUAUUCCUCCAGAGAGUACUUAUCAAAGGAGGAGUUUGCGACCUCGAUGUUGAAUUAAAAUGUCUAUUUAGUGCAGCAGCUAGAUAAGAAGGUCUGUUCGACCUUUAAUUUUUU
RNAcentral lists this ribosomal RNA (516 nucleotides) under Achelous anceps. RNAcentral's name for it is "partial 16S ribosomal RNA". It matches the Rfam family "Archaeal large subunit ribosomal RNA", at positions 1923 to 2666 of the family's 2987-position model. The record is from RNAcentral. Lineage: Eukaryota; Metazoa; Arthropoda; Malacostraca; Decapoda; Portunidae.